This 378-nucleotide ribosomal RNA is filed under the name uncultured bacterium. RNAcentral's name for it is "bacterial SSU rRNA". It matches the Rfam family "Bacterial small subunit ribosomal RNA", at positions 521 to 898 of the family's 1533-position model. The record is from RNAcentral.
UAAUACGUAGGUGGCAAGCGUUGUCCGGAAUUAUUGGGCGUAAAGCGCGCGCAGGCGGCUAUGUAAGUCUGGUGUUAAAGCCCGGGGCUCAACCCCGGUACGCACCCGAAACUGCGUAGCUUGAGUGCAGGAGAGGAAAGCGGUAUUCCACGUGUAGCGGUGAAAUGCGUAGAGAUGUGGAGGAACACCAGUGGCGAAGGCGGCUUUCUGGCCUGUAACUGACGCUGAGGCGCGAAAGCGUGGGGAGCAAACAGGAUUAGAUACCCUGGUAGUCCACGCCGUAAACGAUGAGUGCUAGGUGUUGGGGGUUUCAAUACCCUCAGUGCCGCAGCUAACGCAAUAAGCACUCCGCCUGGGGAGUACGCUCGCAAGAGUGAA